AGUGAACGCUGGCGGCAGGCCUAACACAUGCAAGUCGAACGGUAACAGGAAACAGCUUGCUGUUUCGCUGACGAGUGGCGGACGGGUGAGUAAUGUCUGGGAAACUGCCUGAUGGAGGGGGAUAACUACUGGAAACGGUAGCUAUUACCGCAUAACGUCGCAAGACCAAAGAGGGGGACCUUCGGGCCUCUUGCCAUCGGAUGUGCCCAGAUGGGAAUUAGCUUGUUGGUGGGGUAACGGCUCACCAAGGCGACGAUCCCUAGCUGGUCUGAGAGGAUGACCAGCCACACUGGAACUGAGACACGGUCCAGACUCCUACGGGAGGCAGCAGUGGGGAAUAUUGCACAAUGGGCGCAAGCCUGAUGCAGCCAUGCCGCGUGUAUGAAGAAGGCCUUCGGGUUGUAAAGUACUUUCAGCGGGGAGGAAGGGAGUAAAGUUAAUACCUUUACUCAUUGACGUUACCCGCAGAAGAAGCACCGGCUAACUCCGUGCCAGCCGCCGCCGUAA
Molecule: ribosomal RNA, 507 nt
Filed under: uncultured bacterium
Lineage: Bacteria
Description: partial 16S ribosomal RNA
Rfam family: Bacterial small subunit ribosomal RNA
Source: RNAcentral